GUCAAAAUGUUAAAGAAACAUCGUCUCGUUGUACAUCCAUAAAGUAGCAUACAUCUCGAUGGUUCUUAAAUCUAAAAUGAUGGGUUUUCUCACUUGGAACAUCUAUGACGGAAGAUGUGCUUUCACCGGAGGACGUGUACGAACUGACCAAAGUUCCUUGAUACAAUCAUUUUAUCAACGCGAAAAAGGAGUAGUAGUAGCGUUGGCCAUAUGCAUUGGACCGCCUCUAUGUAUACGUGGUCACAAUUGAUUGUUGACAUGUCACCAUGGAAACUCGCCUAACGAAUACAAACACAAAGGGCACACCGUUUGCCCCGGCUUUCUAGGAAGGACCAUUAUUACACUCAGACAGUCCUUGUUUAGUUCUUUAAUUUUUAAUGUACCGGGAAAAUUUUCAAUAAAUUUAAAAAUGUU
Molecule: long non-coding RNA, 414 nt
Filed under: Onthophagus taurus
Lineage: Eukaryota; Metazoa; Arthropoda; Insecta; Coleoptera; Scarabaeidae
Description: uncharacterized LOC111423998, transcript variant X2
Source: RNAcentral